UCCCAUCCCAUGGCGACCCCCCACCCCGCCGCCGCCGCCGCAGCCGCCGCCUUUACCCGCGAUGAGGCCGGCAUCGGCUGCUGCGCGGCCCUGCUCUCCUGCGAGGCCACGCGCUGCGCUUCGCCCGACGCUCUCGCCACCCACGCCAAGGAUUGGGCCCACGUCGCCGCCGACCUCAGGAGGUUCCCGCUGCUGGAGACGGAGGAGGCGCCUCCGCGCCGGCCGCGCUCGCCAAAAUGCGGACCGUGCACGGGCCUUUUGGCGCGUCGGCGGGAGUCCUCCACCCGAAUGUGCUGGGCGAGCUCAACGCUCCCGUCAGGACUGCUGGGGAAGUGGGACGCCGCUGCCGCUGAAACCUGCGGCUUUGAUUCUGCUGGCCACAAGCCUUAUGUGCUCAGCGCACUUGCUGAUGCUGAGCUAUGGAGACUAGAUACAUCUUUUUUUGUUUAUUUUGAUGACAGGUAAUUCCGGACGGAGGGAGUAUUGCAUACCUUGGUGGAUGCAGAACAAGCUUAGCGUCGCCCAGGCCAGGCUCUGCGCAAGGGCAUUGCUGAUGCUGAGCUGUGGAGAAGCUUGCCGCGGGCAGCAGCUCAUCAGAGAAAUCGGAAGGCCGCACGAAGAACAAGAAGAAGUGGCUGGGGGAGGUUACUUCUUCUGUACUGAUGCAGCUUAGAGACCAUGCUACCGGCGGAAAGGGCGCUCCUCGCGUGGAUUCUACAAUGGUUACGGAUUGGGGAACCAAAUUGGAGCCCGUUGUGGAUAAAGUGAAGGAAGCUAUGGGGAGCCUAAAGUGAAUUAGCGAGGAGGAGAUUAGAUUGCCUAAAGUUCCCAAGGGAACACUUCACUUUGGGGCAGACCAAAUGGCCAUAAGGCGGCGGGCAGUUUCAGUGAUAAAAUGUUCAUUUGAGAUGCACGGUGCUGUUGACUAACUUAAGUGCAUUGAGGUGGUACCAGAUAGCAAAACUAUACAGGAGAGAUAUAACAACCCAUCAAAGGGAAGAUACCGAGAAUUCUACCAGUGUGACUUUGACAUUGCUGGAGUAUAUGCAUGAGCCAAUGGAAUUCUCACAGAAUUGCUGGAUAGGCUAGAUAUUGGCACGUAUGAUAAACCUAAAUCACAGAAAGUUGCUUGAUGUCCUCCUCGAGAUCUGCGGUGUGCCUCCUGACAAGUUCAGAAUGGUCUGCUCAAGCAUCGACAAGCUUGAUAAAACUGACAUUCCAAGAGGUGUAGUAACUACUCUGUUUCUUGGCAACAGAUCAUAUUGACACUUUGCAUCAUUCUUUCGCUCUGUCGGCCGAGAUGAGGUUGUCAAGAUCAACUGCCAUUGCAAGUGGAACAAAAAGCUACCAGACAACAGAAAAUGGAGUUGGGGGUAGAGGAGGCACCUGCAAACUGGACAAAAAGCUGCUGGUCAC
Molecule: long non-coding RNA, 1416 nt
Organism: Triticum aestivum (bread wheat)
Lineage: Eukaryota; Viridiplantae; Streptophyta; Magnoliopsida; Poales; Poaceae
Exons: 3
Source: RefSeq, a predicted model, not a curated record